Molecule: non-coding RNA, 435 nt
Organism: Lipotes vexillifer (Yangtze River dolphin)
Lineage: Eukaryota; Metazoa; Chordata; Mammalia; Artiodactyla; Lipotidae
Source: the annotation of a RefSeq genome assembly
AUGGAGAACAUGCUGGAAUGUGCAUUCAUAGUCUUGUGGCUUCAGCUUGCCUGGUUGAGGGGAGAAGACCAGGUGAAGCAGAGUCCUCAGACCCUGAAAAUCCAGGAGGGAGACAGUCUCAUCCUCAACUGCAGCUACACGGUCAGCAGUUUUAACGGGCUACUGUGGUAUAGACAGGAUCCCGGGAAGGGACCCGAACUUCUCUUCAUUCUUUCCUCAGUUGGGAAGGAAAAGCAGAAAGAAAGACUAAAAGCCACCUUGUUAAAGAAGGGAAGCUCUCUGCACAUCGCAGCCCCUAAACCUGAAGACUCAGCCACUUACCUCUGUGCUGUGGAGACACAGUGCUCCCCAGGCGCCUGCAGCCUGUACACAAACCCUGCAGCUGGGGCUCUGGAAUCAGGGCAUCUUUGGUGUUUUCCCUCCUCGAAGAAGUAG